CAGGGCCACCUCCACCACCAACAUCAGGGCCACCACCAACAUCAGGGCCACCACCUCCACCACCAACAACUUUCAAAGUGUCCACAGUGCCAGAACCUACAGAACUCCCAACAACUCUUCCUCCGUACGAGCCCACUGAGGAUCAGGACGAGACUGAAUCACCACCUCCACCUACCACAACUGUAGCACCUCCACCACCACUUACCACAACGUUAGGGCCACCACCAACAUCAUCAGGGCCACCACCAACAUCAGGGCCACCACCACCAACAUCAGGGCCACCACCUCCACCACCAACAACUUUAAAAGUGUCCACAGUGCCAGAACCUACAGAACUCCCAACAACUCUUCCUCCGU
This is a non-coding RNA of Petromyzon marinus (sea lamprey), 357 nucleotides long. The record is from RefSeq and is a predicted model, not a curated record. Lineage: Eukaryota; Metazoa; Chordata; Hyperoartia; Petromyzontiformes; Petromyzontidae.